This 540-nucleotide ribosomal RNA is filed under the name bacterium 65-L049641-122-013-A09. RNAcentral's name for it is "bacterial SSU rRNA". It matches the Rfam family "Bacterial small subunit ribosomal RNA", at positions 71 to 596 of the family's 1533-position model. The record is from RNAcentral.
GAUGGGAGCUUGCUCCCUGAUGUUAGCGGCGGACGGGUGAGUACACGUGGGUAACCUGCCUGUAAGACUGGGAUAACUCCGGGAAACCGGGGCUAAUACCGGAUGCUUGUUUGAACCGCAUGGUUCAAACAUAAAAGGUGGCUUCGGCUACCACUUACAGAUGGACCCGCGGCGCAUUAGCUAGUUGGUGAGGUAACGGCUCACCAAGGCAACGAUGCGUAGCCGACCUGAGAGGGUGAUCGGCCACACUGGGACUGAGACACGGCCCAGACUCCUACGGGAGGCAGCAGUAGGGAAUCUUCCGCAAUGGACGAAAGUCUGACGGAGCAACGCCGCGUGAGUGAUGAAGGUUUUCGGAUCGUAAAGCUCUGUUGUUAGGGAAGAACAAGUACCGUUCGAAUAGGGCGGUACCUUGACGGUACCUAACCAGAUAGCCACGGCUAACUACGUGCCAGCAGCCGCGGUAAUACGUAGGUGGCAAGCGUUGUCCGGAAUUAUUGGGCGUAUAGGGCUCGCAGGCGGUUCCUUAAGUCUGAUGUG